Molecule: ribosomal RNA, 440 nt
Filed under: uncultured bacterium
Lineage: Bacteria
Description: partial 16S ribosomal RNA
Rfam family: Bacterial small subunit ribosomal RNA
Source: RNAcentral
CCUACGGGAGGCAGCAGUGGGGAAUAUUGCACAAUGGGGGAAACCCUGAUGCAGCGACGCCGCGUUAGUGAAGACGUAAUUCGUUAUGUAACGCUCUAUCAGCGGGGAAGAAAAUGACGGUACCUGCGUAAGAAGCCCAGGCUAACUACGUGCCAGCAGCCGCGGUCAUACGUAGGUGGCAAGCGGUGUCCGGAUUUACUGGGUGUAAAGGGCGUGCAGCCGGAGAGACAAGUCAGAUGUGAAAUCCACGGGCUCAACCCGUGAACUGCAUUUGAAACUGUUUCCCUUGAGUGUCGGAGAGGUAAUCGGAAUUCCUUGUGUAGCGGUGAAAUGCGUAGAUAUAAGGAAGAACACCAGUGGCGAAGGCGGAUUACUGGACGAUAACUGACGGUGAGGCGCGAAAGCGUGGGGAGCAAACAGGAUUAGAGACCCCAGUAGUC